This 946-nucleotide long non-coding RNA is filed under the name Ananas comosus (pineapple). Its description in RNAcentral is "long non-coding RNA (ACOM_LNC017098)". The record is from RNAcentral. Lineage: Eukaryota; Viridiplantae; Streptophyta; Magnoliopsida; Poales; Bromeliaceae.
CUCCCCAUCCUUGUUUUUGAAUAUAACAGUUAUUACCGACUGUCCCCACAGCAAGUGACAAAAAAUUUACUAUUAGAUAUUCGAGAUACCAAAUUUGAAUCCUAAUUAAUUUAUAUUUUCAACUAAGUUUAUUUAUAAAUUAAAUAAACGAAGCAGAUAGCGUGCUAUCUAUCUCUCUCAAAAAAAAAAAACAAUAGCUUAAGUUUUUGGAUAUAAUAAUUAUUCUAUAUAAUUUAAUUUGGUAUUAGAGUAGCAAAUUUUUAAGUUCGCGUGGCACGAGACUCUAGUAUAAUUUAAUUUGUUCCCAUUUAAUUCAAUUGCUGACUCCUAGUAUAAUUUAGGAUUAAUUUCAUACAGGUCCCUGCAAACAUAACGAAUGGUAAUUUCGUUCCUACAAAGUUCAACUUUUAUAUGUUGUUCCUGUAAAAAUUUUAAUAUUUUCAAAUAUGUCCCUUUGGUUUAUUACUAUUAGAAAAUUUUCUAACGGAUUCUAACAGUAGAGAUAUAUUUAAAAAUAUCAGGACUUUUGUAUGAAUAACAUAUGAAAGUUGAACUUUGUAGUAAUAUAUUUGACAUCCACUAUAUUAGCAGAGACAUGUAUGAAAUUAACCCUAUUUUAUAUAUUUUUAUUUUUUUAUUUCAAAUAUAUCCUUUGUAUAUUUCUUUGUUAUUCAAAAAUGCUCCUCCUGUUAGUAUCCGUUAAGUUAUCCUGAAUUAAAUCUGAAUUAAGUUUCUACCAAAGUAAAAAAAAUAGAUUACCUCUUUUGCCCCUAACUUUAGGGCAAAUAAGAGAGAUAAAAAUAUCAAUUUAUUUCGUUCACUAAUUAUGAUUAACUAUUUUAUUUAUAAUUAACUAUAUUUUUUUAACGAAUCCUAAUAGUAAAACUAUAUUUAAAAAUUUUAUAAUUUUUUAAAAAAUAAAUAAAAAAAAGUUAAAUUUUAUAUA